Suricata suricatta (meerkat) is the source of this 340-nucleotide long non-coding RNA. RefSeq lists it as uncharacterized. Lineage: Eukaryota; Metazoa; Chordata; Mammalia; Carnivora; Herpestidae. The record is from RefSeq and is a predicted model, not a curated record. The transcript is spliced from 3 exons.
AAAAUCAUAUUAAGGAACUCAGAAUGCAGAGUCAGUCUUGCAGACACCAAGUGACCUUGUGCAAGGCACCUUGCAGACUGCCUUGCCUACUUGACUCCCCUAAUGAAUGGUGACUGCCUCGGUACCUGAGUGGCAGGCAGAAUGCCAAAUCCGCAGAUUGCUGGGACAGUGAAGGAGAAGAACAGUUCUUAGGGCUUGUUGGUGUGAAAGCACAUGAUACCCUUUACCCACAGCCUUAAGGUCAUGUUGUUCCCCCAACUGGGUCAGUCAGCCAACCUGAUGUAAUGUGACUCUGAAAAUAAGGUGCUUAUCCCUUUUGACAGUGUGAACAGAGAGAGGC